RNAcentral lists this ribosomal RNA (497 nucleotides) under uncultured bacterium. Its description in RNAcentral is "partial 16S ribosomal RNA". It matches the Rfam family "Bacterial small subunit ribosomal RNA", at positions 899 to 1397 of the family's 1533-position model. The record is from RNAcentral.
ACUCAAAGGAAUUGACGGGGGCCCGCACAAGCAGUGGAGCAUGUGGUUUAAUUCGAAGCAACGCGAAGAACCUUACCAAGACUUGACAUCCCGCUGACCAGUCUAGAGAUAGACUCUCUCUUCGGAGCAGCGGUGACAGGUGGUGCAUGGUUGUCGUCAGCUCGUGUCGUGAGAUGUUGGGUUAAGUCCCGCAACGAGCGCAACCCCUAUGUUGUGUUGCUACCAUUUAGUUGAGCACUUACAACAGACUGCCGGUGACAAACCGGAGGAAGGCGGGGAUGACGUCAAAUCAUCAUGCCCCUUAUGUCUUGGGCUACACACGUGCUACAAUGGACGGUACAAAGGGUUGCGAAGCCGCGAGGUGAAGCCAAUCCCAGAAAGCCGUUCGUAGUUCGGAUUGCAGGCUGCAACUCGCCUGCAUGAAGCCGGAAUUGCUAGUAAUCGCGGAUCAGCAUGCCGCGGUGAAUUCGUUCCCGGGCCUUGCACACACCGCCCGU